GAUGAACGCUGGCGGCGUGCCUAACACAUGCAAGUCGAACGGAGUCCAGCCUUUAAGACCUUCGGGUCAAAGAGGGGAAGACUGAGUGGCGGACGGGUGAGUAACACGUGGGCAACCUGGCUAAUAGAGGGGGAUAACAGAGAGAAAUUUCUGCUAAUACCGCAUAAGCACACACUGCCGCAUGGCAGAGGGUGAAAAGAGAAUCGCUAUGAGAUGGACCCGCGUCUGAUUAGCCAGUUGGCAGGGUAAGAGCCUACCAAAGCGACGAUCAGUAGCCGAUCUGAGAGGAUGAACGGCCACAUUGGGACUGAGACACGGCCCAAACUCCUACGGGAGGCAGCAGUGGGGGAUAUUGCACAAUGGGGGGAACCCUGAUGCAGCGACGCCGCGUGAGUGAAGAAGUAUUUCGGUAUGUAAAGCUCUAUCAGCAGGGAAGAUAAUGACAGUACCUGAAUAAGAAGCCCCGGCUAACUACGUG
This 478-nucleotide ribosomal RNA is filed under the name uncultured bacterium. RNAcentral's name for it is "partial 16S ribosomal RNA". It matches the Rfam family "Bacterial small subunit ribosomal RNA", at positions 28 to 507 of the family's 1533-position model. The record is from RNAcentral.